ACGGGGCGCAGCAGGCGCGAAAACUUUACAAUGCAGGCAACUGUGAUAAGGGAACCCCUAGUGCCCGUAUGGACGGGCUGUUCAGGUGCUUAAAAACAACCUGGAGAAAGGGCCGGGCAAGACCGGUGCCAGCCGCCACGGUAAUACCGGCGGGUCGAGUGGUGGCCACUA
Molecule: ribosomal RNA, 171 nt
Filed under: uncultured archaeon
Lineage: Archaea
Description: partial 16S ribosomal RNA
Rfam family: Archaeal small subunit ribosomal RNA
Source: RNAcentral